UGCCCAAGCCAUCUUCCUGCUCGUCUUG
RNAcentral lists this non-coding RNA (28 nucleotides) under Mus musculus (house mouse). The record is from RNAcentral. Lineage: Eukaryota; Metazoa; Chordata; Mammalia; Rodentia; Muridae.